GUACGCUGGCGGCACGCCUAACACAUGCAAGUCGAACGAAGUAGCAAUACUUAGUGGCAGACGGGUGAGUAACAUGUAGGUAUCUACCCUUUGGCCUGGAAUAACACGAGGAAACUUGUGCUAAUACCGGAUAAGUCUUUACGGAGAAAGCUUUAUGCACCAUUGGAUGAGCCUGCACUUGAUUAGUUUGUUGGUAGGGUAAUGGCCUACCAAGACUUUGAUCAAUAGCUGAUUUGAGAGGAUGAUCAGCCACAUUGGGACUGAGACACGGCCCAAACUCCUACGGGAGGCAGCAGUGGGGAAUCUUGCACAAUGGAGGAAACUCUGAUGCAGCGAUGCCGCGUGAGUGAAGAAGGCCUUUGGGUUGUAAAGCUCUUUCGUCGGGGAAGAAAAUGACUGUACCCGAAUAAGAAGGUCCGGCUAA
This 424-nucleotide ribosomal RNA is filed under the name uncultured bacterium. RNAcentral's name for it is "bacterial SSU rRNA". It matches the Rfam family "Bacterial small subunit ribosomal RNA", at positions 31 to 500 of the family's 1533-position model. The record is from RNAcentral.